Molecule: long non-coding RNA, 519 nt
Filed under: Elaeis guineensis (African oil palm)
Lineage: Eukaryota; Viridiplantae; Streptophyta; Magnoliopsida; Arecales; Arecaceae
Description: long non-coding RNA (EGUI_LNC045580)
Source: RNAcentral
UACUUCUACGUGAAUGAUUGAAAAAUUGUAACUACUAUUACAACCAUCAAACCUCAUCCAAAUUAUUUGGAAUUGGCAAUCAAAUGACUGUCUGAAACGAUAAAUAAUAAUGAAUAAAGACAUAGUUCAAUGGAUUAAUUCAUCACAUAAAUAGAGGGAUCUAAUUUUCAAAUUGUUUUUUAAUAAUAUCUUGGUUCUUUGAUCUGAUUGCUGGCAACUAGUAACCACCCAGUGAUAGGAUGAUCAAGGACUCUUGAAACUAGUGGUAACUUCAUUGAAUGAUCAAAAGAAGGCAAAAGUGCUCACCAACGGGAUGAAGGGCUGCUCCAUUUACAGAGUAUUUCUAUGGAGUUUGCCCCUAGCCAGAGUGGCGUAUCCAUCCAAUUCCAGCAUGACAUUUCGUUCAGUUGUGGGACUGCGAACACUGAAACCGAAUAAAUGAUCAACCAUAUAGUGAGAAGCUACUAAUCAUAAAUGCUAGAACCAAGAUUUUAAGUUCUGGCGGUGCAUGGGACAUCC